AUGGAUCCCCAGACAUUUGUGAGGCUCUCAGUCGGGCAGCUUGGCCUGAGGCUCCCCGGCGCAAGUGCCAGAAAGGCUUGCCACUGCGAGAUCCGGCUCCGAGGCUUCCCGGUUCAGUUAGCUCCGGUGCCUCUGGAAAAUUCUUCAGAGUUUCAUCUUGAUCCGCACGCGAAUGCGGCGGUGUUCUCCCUGGACGAGCCCGGCCUCAAGGCGCUGCCGACGUCGAGGUGGUUCCGAACCCCGGAGCCGCCGUACCUCGAGAUCGUUGUGUACGUGAGCAGGCGCGACGGCGGCGGGCAUUGCGUCGGGUUGAAGCGGCGGCUGGUCGGGGCUGUCAGGGUGGAUGUCGGGCCGGAGUGGCGCGACGGCAAGCCUGUGCUGCUUCGCCAUGGCUGGACGGGCAUCGGCAGGGCGGCGGAGCUGCACGUGAGAGUGAGGGUGGAGGCUGACCCUCGGUACGUGUUCCGGUUCGAGGACGAGGUCGCGCUGAACCCGCAGGUGGUCCAGCUCCAUGGCGGCGCCAGCCAGCCCAUCUUUAGCUGCAAGUUCAUCCGCGACGUGAGGCGGGCGUCGCAGCCGGAUCAUUUGGGCGGGAAGUAUUGGUCGAGCUCCGGAAGCGGCGAAGAGAAGGAGACGGAGAUGGCGGGGAGGAGGAGGGAGAGGAAGGGCUGGAAGGUGGCGAUCCACGACCUGUCCGGCUCCGCCGUGGCCGCGGCGUUCAUGGCCACGCCGUUCGUGCCGGCGACGGGCUCCGACACGGUGGCGCGGUCCAACCCAGGCGCGUGGCUCAUCGUCCGCGCCGACACAACGGGAUCGUCGGAGAGCUGGCAGCCGUGGGGCCGGCUGGAGGCGUGGCGGGAGUGCGCUGCGCCGGCGGGCGGCAAGGACGCCGUGUGCCUUCGGCUGCAUCUCCUCCCGGAGCGGCGGGACGCGUGCGUACUCGUGUCCGAGACGCCUCUGAGCUGUGAUAAGGGCGGGGAGUUCUCCAUCGACAUGGACAGACAGUCGAUCCUCCCGGAGGACGCAGUGGCGUCGGAGACGACGUCGUCGUCGUACUGCGCAGCGAGCAUGGGACAGUCGUGCGCGGGCGGCGGCUUCGUGAUGAGCUGCAGCGUGCAGGGCGAGGCGGCGACGAGCAGCAGGCCGCCGCUGGUGCACCUCGCCGCGCGGCACGUCAUGUGCAUGGAAGACGCAGCCAUGUUCCUCGCGCUUGCGGCUGCCGUCGACCUCAGUGUCAAGGCGUGCCGGCCGUUCCGGAGCAAGACGGCGGCGGCUAAGAAGAAGACGGCUGCUGGCUCCUCUUCCCCCGAUCCCCUGGAGCUCGACACGUAG
This 1332-nucleotide ribosomal RNA is filed under the name Triticum aestivum (bread wheat). RNAcentral's name for it is "partial small subunit ribosomal RNA". The record is from RNAcentral. Lineage: Eukaryota; Viridiplantae; Streptophyta; Magnoliopsida; Poales; Poaceae.